Medicago truncatula (barrel medic) is the source of this 3126-nucleotide long non-coding RNA. RefSeq lists it as uncharacterized. Lineage: Eukaryota; Viridiplantae; Streptophyta; Magnoliopsida; Fabales; Fabaceae. The record is from RefSeq and is a predicted model, not a curated record. The transcript has 6 exons.
CUAAUCCAAUGUCUAAUUUUGAGUUGUAUGGAAGUGCCCUUACCUUAAGUACUCUCCUUCUUAGUGCUUAGAAAAUCUACCCAAUUGCCGGAACAAGACUUCAAGAAUUAUCCUCCACCGAAGAGUACUAAUGGAUGGUUCAAAUUCUAGGAAAAUUGGUUAUUCUAAUGGUUCUUCUUCAACGGUUUUCGACGAAUUUUUUGAAGAAUUUGGCUUCUGGUUCUGGUUCUAAAAGUGGUUUUGAUAAGUAGGUUCCUUCAAGUGCUGGUUCUUCUACCUUGGUUCAUGUUGAGAAAGAUGUUUCUGCCAAGGGUUCUGAAUUGUUUACAAGAGAUGAUAGUUAUGUGAGCAAGUCCAAGUCUACAUUCUACCAUAAUUGGUUUGGAUUCAUCAUUAAAAUCCACAACUGUUGCAGGUCAAGAUGGUGAUAAGUUGAGUUUGAUUAAACUUGCUAGCAUAAUUGAGGUUUCUGCAAAGAAAGGAACUCGUGAUCUCAAGCUCCAGGGCAAGUUGAUGGACCAAGUUGAUUGGCUUCCUGAUUCUAUAGGGAAGUUAUCUAGCCUGAUUCUUGGCUGUGGCCAUGGUGAAGAAGACACAUGCCUAUAAAAAUAAACUAAGGGCGUUGGAGCUUGAGCGCAGUGGUGGGAUUACAAAUAAGAAGGGUCAAAAGAAUAAGGACAGAUAUCAAAUGCUUACUUGCAGUUUCUGCGCGGAUUCGGCACCAAGAUCUUAUUUGAGUUUGUAAAGGAAAUGCCUAAGUCUGAGACCCCAAUUAGGAUUGAGAUAACAACUCUCCUGGGCAGUCUGUUCUUUACAUGGGUUGUCCUGCAACUUUUUCCGGGGUGGCAAUGGAGACUUGAUCCGGAUUAUGGUAUGCUGCAGGCUUUGCAGACGCUUCUAUUUAAAGCUGACUUGCUAGAAGAGUCGCUAUCUUAUGCCAUUGAAGGACCAGUGGCCCCGUAAUUAAAAUGUGCCCCUUUUGUUUGCACCAAAUUUAGAGCCGUAUGAAGGAAUGGAUUUUGCAUCAUUCGAAGAUGCAAAAAAUUACUAUACAAGUUAUGCAAGGAAGAAAGGUUUUAGCUUUCGCUUGGGCGUAUUAUUAAAUCAAGAACAAAUGGAUUGAUAAUUGGUCAGGAGAUUCUUUGUUCAAAGGAGGGGUUUCAACCUAAAAAGUAUGUAAAAGUUGCAGCACAUGAUGAAACAAGGGUAGGAUGCAAGGCAAUGAUAUUAUAUGUGAAGAAAAAUUAAGAUAUCCGGAUUAUCUCUAGAUUUAUAAGAGAGCAUAAUCAUGAGUUAUCAAUAUUUUGAUGAUGUUGUAACUUUUGAUCCAACGUAUUUAACAAAUGGAUAUAAAAUGCCUUUCGUUCCAUUCACCGGAGUUAAUCAUCAUCAACAAUCAAUUCUUUUUGGUUGUGCUUUAUUGGAGUUAAAUACUUGGUUAGAAGCAAUGUCCGGGGUAUGUCCUAAAACUAUUAUCACAUACCAGGCCAGUGCUAUCACUAAUGCAGUUGCAAGAGUGUUUCCGAAUGUUAAUCAUCAUUACUGUAUGUGGCGCAUUGAAAAAAAGUUCCAGAGUACUUGAGCGAAAUCCAUCAUGAACACAGUGAUUUUAAAAGUCAAUUUUACAAGUGUAUUCACCAAUCAAUCACUAAUCUGAUUGGGAAGCAAUGAUAGAUAAGUAUGGGUUGCAAGAUAAUCGGUGGCUUCAAAAGAUAUACUCUAUUAGAGAAAAAUGGAUUCCUGCUUAUGUACGUAACAAUUUUUGUGCUGGAAUGUCCACUACUCAAAGGAGUGAAAGUAUGAAUAAGUUCUUUAAGGAUUUUUUUUUAACUCUGGUACUCCAUUGAGCAAGUUUGUGACACAAUAUGACAAGGCUCUUGAUGCACGUUACAACAAGGAGAGGGAGAAGACUUUCAAGACAAUCAAUUCAAAACCAUUUUUGCGAACUUUAUAUCCUAUGGAAGAAGAAGCUUCAAAAUUCUAUACAAGAAAGUUAUUUAGAACUUUUCAGGAUGAGUUAGUUGGUUCUCGAAAGUUUAUUGCAUAGAAAAUUGAUUUUUCAAGUGAUUUUUCCACAUACAAGGUUCAUGAGAUUUACAAAGAAAAAAAACCUAGCUACUAUGUGACUUUUCAUAUCAUUUCUAAUGAAGCUAAUUGUAGUUGUCACAUGUUUGAAUUUUCGGGUAUUCUGUGUCAACAUGUGUUAAAUGUACUCCUAAGGAAAAAAAAUCUUUCUCUUCCUUCAGAUAUAUAUGCUUCGUCGUUGGAAUGUUGAUGCUAUAAAAGGGAAAGUUACAGGAUUGACUGCAGAUCAAUUUGAAGAAGGUAGCAACAAAUCUUCGAGUACUUUAUUGUUCAAUAGUAUUAUGGUUCAUUCUCUGGGAGUAUCUGAAAGAGGAUUUCAAAAGAUAAUUGAAGAUCUUGAUUUGUUGGAUCUUGAAGAUACAAAUGAAGAGCUUGGUAAUUCAACAUCUGAAGUUAUUUCAAAGUUCAGUAACAGUGAAAUAGUUGUGCGUGAUCCUCCACUUGUGGCCAGUAAAAGGCGUCCUCGAACUUUGAGAAUGAAAGGAAGCUUAGAAAAGCUCAGUAAAAGCAAGUUAUGCAGAAAGCUAAUAACGAUCAGGCAGCACCCAUAACUACUAUAAUCAGGAGCAUGUAGAAAAGUAGGAAUCUCAGAAAUUGGCAGUAGAUAGCAGAAACAAACAGCAGCAUUUUGGAGUGUGCGAAUCACUUGUUGGAGGAUUGGCAGUAUGUGAAUGGCAGGAAGCUUGGACAUGCUACUGGUUCAGCAAAUAAUAAUAUCAUAAACAACAUGACAGCAACACAGCAAGCACAAGGAAUCACAGAGCAACGGUGGCAGAAGCCGACAAGAGGAAGGUUAGAGUGUAACGUCGAUGCUUCACUCUCAAACUCCGUAACAAAGUGGGUACAGGAAUAUGUAUAAUUAAAUAAAUGGAUGAUUCUAUUAUGUGAGGAUAGUAUGCUUUAUUGAUAUGUUAUAGUAUCAUAUUAUGGGAGGUUAAAGGUUGUUUUUGGAUGAUUCUAUAGUAAAUGAUGCAUAAAGUUGUCAUAUCAAUGUUUUGAUUUUUAAUCAUAGAAAGGAAUAAGCUGAAAAAAGUUUGCAUA